Molecule: ribosomal RNA, 597 nt
Filed under: Laodicea undulata
Lineage: Eukaryota; Metazoa; Cnidaria; Hydrozoa; Leptothecata; Laodiceidae
Description: partial 16S ribosomal RNA
Rfam family: Bacterial large subunit ribosomal RNA
Source: RNAcentral
AGCCCUAGAUAAUAUCUAAGGUGUAACCUGCCCAAUGGUUUUUAAUUAAGAAUUAAUAAAAGUUAUUUAAAGAAAUUUAAAGGACGCAGUAACCUUGACUGUGAUAAUGUAGCAUAAUCACUCGCCAUUUAAUUGAUGGAUAGUAUGAAUGGUUGAACGAAUAUUCCACUGUCUUAAGAAGAAAUACCAAGAAAUUGAAAUAAUAGUUAAGAUGCUAUUUAAAAUUGUAAGACGAAAAGACCCUAUAGAGCUUAACUAUAACCUCUUGUACAAAUUAGAAAAUAAAUUUAAAGUUUAAAGAGGUUGGUAGUUUAGUUGGGGCGACUGUCUUCUAAAAUCAACGAAGACAAGCAAAGUAAAUAAAAAACUUAUUGUAUAAUAUAUAUAUUUAACAAUUACAAAAGUAGGCUAUAAUGACCCGUUGUGCAUUUAUAAAAAUCACAACGAUCAAUAAAUAAAAGCUACCUUAGGGAUAACAGGAUAAUUUUAUUUUAGAGAUCAUAUCGAAGAUAAAGUUUGUCACCUCUAUGUUGAAUUAAGAUAUCCCGACAGUGCAGAAGUUGUCAAAGGUAGGUCUGUUCGACCUUUAAAAUCUUA